GGUCUGAACCCAUGCAAUUACAACGCUCAAAUCUUGUCAGGACCGGAAGGUAGCAGCAAUACGGGAUGCUUGUGGUAGGCGUGGACUUCGGGCCCUU
This 97-nucleotide signal recognition particle RNA is filed under the name Coleofasciculaceae cyanobacterium RL_1_1. Its description in RNAcentral is "signal recognition particle sRNA small type". It matches the Rfam family "Bacterial small signal recognition particle RNA". From Rfam's summary of the family: The signal recognition particle (SRP) is a universally conserved ribonucleoprotein involved in the co-translational targeting of proteins to membranes. Archaeal SRP consists of a 7S RNA and homologues of the eukaryotic SRP19 and SRP54 proteins. The record is from RNAcentral. Lineage: Bacteria; Bacillati; Cyanobacteriota; Cyanophyceae; Coleofasciculales; Coleofasciculaceae.